AUGUGUUUACCCCCGUAAGUGCUGGACAUUUUGUCCAGAGGAUACUGUGAUCAAAAGCAUUAAUGAUGUGAUCAAAAGCAGAAAUGAAAAAAGGAUAAAUAGCUGGCUUCCCUUGAUCAGCUAGAAUGGUUAGAAGAAGCUGUUUUAUCAGAACAUUUCUCCAAUUCUGCCAAUUUUGAUCCAUUUUGAGUUAAAAAAAGGCAAUGAUGAAAGAAAUGCUGCUGAAGAACUUUCACUGUCAUAAAAGCAGGAUCCUGUUGAAGAAAUGGACAAAUCACUCUCAUUCAUUUGCUACAGACUGCCUCU
Long non-coding RNA from Vidua chalybeata, 306 nucleotides. RefSeq lists it as uncharacterized. The transcript has 3 exons. The record is from RefSeq and is a predicted model, not a curated record. NCBI's taxonomy places the organism in Eukaryota, Metazoa, Chordata, Aves, Passeriformes, Viduidae.